Molecule: non-coding RNA, 203 nt
Organism: Oryza meridionalis
Lineage: Eukaryota; Viridiplantae; Streptophyta; Magnoliopsida; Poales; Poaceae
Source: Rfam
AAUAAGUGUAGCUUUACACUGUUCAUGUCCAAUGUUUGACCGUUCAUCUUAUUUGAAAAGUUUUUAUGAUUAGUAUUUUUAUUGCAAUUAUAUGAUAAAAUAUGAAUAAUACUUUAUGUGUAAAUGUUUUUUUAUUUUUUCAUAUUUUUUGAAAUAAGACGGACAGUCAAACCUGGACACGGAUACUCACGGCUGCACUUAUU